This 1186-nucleotide long non-coding RNA is filed under the name Homo sapiens (human). RNAcentral's name for it is "HSALNT0058466". The record is from RNAcentral. Lineage: Eukaryota; Metazoa; Chordata; Mammalia; Primates; Hominidae.
CCAGUAAUGUAGGAAAUUUAUCUAAAAAUCUAUAUAUUAAAACAGUAUGGAAUCAUCUUAAAGUUAGAAAUGUGGGAAUUUUCUUUUGCGUGAUUCAAGAAUUUAUUUUUAUCUUUCCUUUCAUUGUAGAGUGUCCUCUAGUGCUCUAAGGAAUCAAAAAUUAUUUUUUGGAAAUAUAUUAUUCAAAAUAAUUUGUCCCCAUUUCACUUUGGAGAAUCAUGUUAGUCACCUAUAAUACUCAACUACUCAAAUUCUUAUGUAUUCUGAUGGCUCCAAACCCAUUAUACCUGCUACUUCCAUACUUAAGUGAGCCCAGGUGCCGCUUGCACACAUUCUGAUUUAGCAGGUCCAGGCUAAGGCUUAGAGAUCUGCUACUUAACAUCCCAGGUGAUUCUGAUGCAGAUUUUCCAUGGACCAUGAUUUGAGAAACACCACUCUACAUACCCUUUCUCUGUGUUGCUUUUCAGAAAGAGCUCAAUGAUUAUUAAGUCGCUUUUCUUAUAGUAAAUAUAUCUUUCUCUCUCUGAGGGUCAAACUGGUACAAUCCACACUUCUGUCAGGUUACUGGCCAUCCUAUGAGUCACUACUUCACUUUCUUCUUCCUUUUAAAUGGACAUAUCUGGGGGAAGAAAGGUAUGGAUGAUUCAAAAGGCAUGUCCCCAUAGGAUGAAAUGAGUACAGAUCUGCUGGCUGCUGGACACUGUACAAAAGCCCCAAAUACUAAGGACCAGCAUUGUGCAGCCCCAGACCCUUAGGCAGUCUGGCUGAGAUGUCCGUCACUGAUUGAUGGGACAAAAGUCAUAAUAUAAACCCUCUUUUUCAAAAUUAAGAUGUGGGACUUAAAAUGUCCCUGAGCAAAACUCCUUACUCAAAGAACAAAUUUCAAAAUUGUAAUCACUGAUGUAUGUGCACUGUGCUUUGUGGCACCAUGCACCAUUUGCAGUCUAUCUUAAAUAAAGAAUACUGGCAAUCCCUUAACUUGUGAGAUCUCUAUAACAUCCAAAUGGUAGCUUAAGACUGUCAUGUCCUGCAGUGGUACAAGAAAAUUCAUAUGAUCUAGUUCUUAUUCCAAGGAUUUAUUUUUAUCUUACUAACCCUUUAGCUCAAGAGACUUCACCGCCUGAUCUGCAGGUAACAGUUUGGGCUUCCUUACCUCUUUCUAUCUCCACCAAAAAGACUAGUUAAG